Triticum aestivum (bread wheat) is the source of this 175-nucleotide non-coding RNA. The record is from Rfam. NCBI's taxonomy places the organism in Eukaryota, Viridiplantae, Streptophyta, Magnoliopsida, Poales, Poaceae.
ACGAGGAAGGGCGUAGCAAGCGACAAAAUGCUUCGGGGAGUUGAAAAUAAGCAUAGAUCCGGAGAUUCCCAAAUAGGUCAACCUUUUAAACUGCCUGCUGAAUCCAUGAGUAGGCAAGAGACAACCUGACGAACUGAAACAUCUUAGUAGCCAGAGGAAAUUCCAUCCUUACUGG